GACUAUUGUCAGGUUGAGAGGAUACAGAAAACUGAGUUACAAGCAUAGAAAAAUGAAAAAUAAAGCAUACUAUUGUUUGGACAAUUGUACGGUCUGGUCAUACGGUAAACUUUUCCUUUCAGAGGAAAUAUUACACAAUUGUCAUGGUCUCAUGGAUCAGUGGAAGUUACUCACAGCAACACACCCAGAUUAUGGAUAGCUAGAAUCAAGCCAUACAUGAACUAAAGACGUGAAAAAAGCCUGGAAUUUUGACUUCAGGUUCCAUUCAUGCUUUCAUGUUUCCCGUGAAUCUGAAUCAUCAGCUGUGUAGGGCAGUUUCAUAUGCACCUGCGAUGUCAAGAAAAAAUCGUUAAAGGAAUAAGAUAACAAAAGCUAUACUGGAUGGAGGCCAACCAUGUUAUACUCUGGAAGGAGGGUCUAAUAGCUAAGGGAUAUUUUCAGAUAAUAAGUUUGGCAGUGAAAAUUCCAAUAUCUACAUAAAAUGUCGUAUCAAAGGAUUUCAUAUGGAGGGAGGAUUUUGAAUAUUGGCCUCACGGGAAAUAGAGGCGUGAGGUUCUGUUCAACGUGAUGGAAUGGUAGGACGAACAGAAGCAGCAGCAUAGCAGUGUCAGCAAUACGGACAGCAGCAGCAGCGUAGCGGCAAAAUUGCAUCUCUCACGCAGCAACGUACAUGCAUCGGCGCCACAACGCACACCAGCGCGUGGUCACGCACCUUGGCUACAUCGCUGCACGAAGAGCAGGCAGACCUCUACCUUGGCCAGUGACCUGCCACCCGAAUCCUCUCCUUCCCACGACGGCG
Molecule: long non-coding RNA, 799 nt
Filed under: Triticum aestivum (bread wheat)
Lineage: Eukaryota; Viridiplantae; Streptophyta; Magnoliopsida; Poales; Poaceae
Description: long non-coding RNA (TAES_LNC027729)
Source: RNAcentral